RNAcentral lists this ribosomal RNA (406 nucleotides) under uncultured bacterium. RNAcentral's name for it is "partial 16S ribosomal RNA". It matches the Rfam family "Bacterial small subunit ribosomal RNA", at positions 30 to 526 of the family's 1533-position model. The record is from RNAcentral.
AUUGAACGCUGGCGGCAUGCUUUACACAUGCAAGUCGGACGAGUGGCGAACGGGUGAGUAACGCAUCGGAACGUACCGAGUAAAGGGGGAUAACUACUCGAAAGGGUAGCUAAUACCGCAUACUAUUCGAGCGGCCCAGGUGUGAUUAGCUGGUUGGCGGGGUAAAGGCUCACCUAGGCGACGAUCAGUAGCGGGUCUGAGAGGAUGAUCAGCCACACGGGGACUGAGACACGGUCCAGACUCCUACGGGAGGCAGCAGUGGGGAAUUUUGGACAAUGGGCGCAAGCCUGAUCCAGCCAUGCCGCGUGUCUGAAGAAGGCCUUCGGGUUGUAAAGGACUUUUAUCAGGGAGGCGGUACCUGAAGAAUAAGCACCGGCUAACUACGUGCCAGCAGCCGCGGUAAUAC